GACGAACGCUGACGGCGUGCUUAACACAUGCAAGUCGAACGGAAAGGCCCUGCUUUUGUGGGGUGCUCGAGUGGCGAGCGGGUGAGUAACACGUGAGUAACCUGCCCUUGACUUUGGGAUAACUUCAGGAAACUGGGGCUAAUACCGGAUAGGAGCUCCUGCUGCAUGGUGGGGGUUGGAAAGUUUCGGCGGUUGGGGAUGGACUCGCGGCUUAUCAGCUUGUUGGUGGGGUAGUGGCUUACCAAGGCUUUGACGGGUAGCCGGCCUGAGAGGGUGACCGGCUACAUUGGGACUGAGAUACGGCCCAGACUCCUACGGGAGGCAGCAGUGGGGAAUAUUGCACAAUGGGCGGAAGCCUGAUGCAGCAACGCCGCGUGCGGGAUGACGGCCUUCGGGUUGUAAACCGCUUUCGCCUGUGACGAAGCGUGAGUGACGGUAAUGGGUAAAGAAGCACCGGCUAACUACGUG
RNAcentral lists this ribosomal RNA (468 nucleotides) under uncultured bacterium. Its description in RNAcentral is "partial 16S ribosomal RNA". It matches the Rfam family "Bacterial small subunit ribosomal RNA", at positions 28 to 507 of the family's 1533-position model. The record is from RNAcentral.